Molecule: ribosomal RNA, 253 nt
Filed under: uncultured bacterium
Lineage: Bacteria
Description: partial 16S ribosomal RNA
Rfam family: Bacterial small subunit ribosomal RNA
Source: RNAcentral
UACGAAGGGUGCGAGCGUUAUUCGGAAUCACUGGGCGUAAAGAGUGCGUAGGCGGUCCAUUAAGUUUGUUGUUAAAGACUCUAGCCUAACUGGAGGGUUGCAAUGAAAACUGGUGAGCUAGAGGGUGAGAGAGAGAAGUGGAAUUCCCGGAGUAGCGGUAAAAUGCGUGGAUCUCGGGAGGAACACCAAUGGCGAAGGCAGCUUCUUGGCUCAUUCCUGACGUUGAGGCACGAAAGCGUGGGGAGCAAACAGG